GAGCUAAUGAUGAGAAAUACAAUUAUCUUAGCGGAUUUCAGUGAGAUUUCUUUGAAUCAAUGAUCUGAUUGUUACACACACUGAAGCUCUUAAUAAUUUUUUUUUUUAAAUUAAAUGGGAUGUAAAUAAUAAUAAUAAUAGCACUGUUGAGGUAAAACACAUGAGGAUGUGUUAAGGGAAGUGGACAAGACGAUUUAAACCGUUUUGCCGUGAUCCCCAUUUUAAACGACUUCUCCUUCCACUGAGCUUU
This 250-nucleotide long non-coding RNA is filed under the name Helianthus annuus (common sunflower). Its description in RNAcentral is "hypothetical non coding rna". The stretch from base 1 to 89 matches the Rfam family "Small nucleolar RNA R11/Z151". Lineage: Eukaryota; Viridiplantae; Streptophyta; Magnoliopsida; Asterales; Asteraceae. The record is from RNAcentral.